Molecule: ribosomal RNA, 427 nt
Filed under: Salmonella enterica subsp. enterica
Lineage: Bacteria; Pseudomonadati; Pseudomonadota; Gammaproteobacteria; Enterobacterales; Enterobacteriaceae
Also listed under: 1 other name
Description: partial 23S ribosomal RNA
Rfam family: Bacterial large subunit ribosomal RNA
Source: RNAcentral
GUUUGGCACCUCGAUGUCGGCUCAUCACAUCCUGGGGCUGAAGUAGGUCCCAAGGGUAUGGCUGUUCGCCAUUUAAAGUGGUACGCGAGCUGGGUUUAGAACGUCGUGAGACAGUUCGGUCCCUAUCUGCCGUGGGCGCUGGAGAACUGAGGGGGGCUGCUCCUAGUACGAGAGGACCGGAGUGGACGCAUCACUGGUGUUCGGGUUGUCAUGCCAAUGGCACUGCCCGGUAGCUAAAUGCGGAAGAGAUAAGUGCUGAAAGCAUCUAAGCACGAAACUUGCCCCGAGAUGAGUUCUCCCUGAGACUUAGAGUCUCCUGAAGGAACGUUGAAGACGACGACGUUGAUAGGCCGGGUGUGUAAGCGCAGCGAUGCGUUGAGCUAACCGGUACUAAUGAACCGUGAGGCUUAACCUUACAACGCCGAAG